AAAUAUAGGCAACGAGAGAAAACGAGACAGUGUAAAAAAGCCUUCUGGUGGUUUUCACAGCAAGACUUGUUUCCUGAUCAUUGUAGCAGCAAAUAAAUUUAGUUUUCUCUGCGUAUGGGCGUGGCAAGUUGGUUUUGAAAAAUAUACAGUUGUUACAGGAACUUCAUCAGCACGCUGUAUAAAGUUGAUUUUGAAUUUGUUUGUCUUGCACAUCUAUUAUCAUGGCUUGCAGUUGUGGAUGGUUUUGGACAAUCUUCUGGUUGAUCGGUCUUCUCAUAAUAGCUAUUCCAAUCGGGCUAAUCUUUGCAAUCUUGUGGAUAAUAUUUUCUCCGUUCGGGGUUUGCAUAUCAGGAUGUGGAGACUGCAUAAGCUUUUUAACAAAAGGAUUUAAUCUACCUCAGACCUUUGCAAGAAACAUGGUCGCACAAUCGUCACCGUGUUAAAGUACAUUAUGCCCAGAAGACUUAAAACUAAUCCAUUUUUACCCAGUGAUAAAUCGACUUUCGGUUAAAUAGAAAAAUAAAUAAAAAUUAUUUGGUGAAUUGUACACAAACCAACAUGCAGUGCUACUUUUAGAAGUUUUUAAUGAAAUUCCACAAAUUGUGCUACAUCAUAAAGUGAUAAAUCAGAAAUUCAUUCGCAUAUAUCUUUAUAUACAAAUACAAUGAAGUAUAUUCGAAACUGAAUGUCCAAAAUUCAAAACUAAAAUUUAUUUUGAGAUAAUAUACGUAGCUGUAAAUUUACGGUUAUAAAAGCUCGGAAUUAUCGCAGGCUCAUAGAUGAUUUGUCCUAUUUCAAUACACUAUUUACGGCAACAAAUAUCUCUAUAUACAUAUAUAUAUACCGGCAAUAUGUAGUGUACUAAUCCAAUGAUUCUAUUUCAUAAAGGGUGGAUAAGUUAACAAAUAAUAAAUGAAUAGGCUUCCGGUACUCUUUCGUCACCAGUAUUAAUUUUUAAGUCCGUGCUUCGUAUAUAAUUGUUGUUGCUCCUUUUAUUACUACGGUCAAUGCCAUUGAACAUAAACCAUGUUACUACUCUGCGUGCACGUGAUUUUGAUAUUUUGUUUGCGAAUAUUUGGACGGUAAUAAGCCAAGGUGAAAGUACAGUAUAAUGCAUUGCUAAAUUCAAGCUCCCUGCUUCUAGUCAGCAUUGUUGUGUGUAUUGAUUACUAAUAUAGAAUUGUACUAUUUUUUCCAUGAUAGGAUAAAAUUUAGAUAUUAGUUACGAAAUAAUUUAGGUCAGACAACAACUAGAUGAAGUUAUUAUAAAACAUAACAUUUUAAAAUAUGAAUUUGGCGUUCAAAUCUGACAUCUAUAUUUACAACUAGGUAGCCCUUCGCACAUUUCAAUGUACAUGCAACUGAAUUUCAAUUGUCUUUAAUUUUUUAAAUAAUUAUGUCAUUCAUAUUGUUAUCAUCUCAGGUAUGAAUAUUGUUAUACAUCCAUCAUAACAAAAAUAAAUAAAUACGAAACAGCUCAGAA
Molecule: long non-coding RNA, 1483 nt
Organism: Styela clava
Lineage: Eukaryota; Metazoa; Chordata; Ascidiacea; Stolidobranchia; Styelidae
Source: RefSeq, a predicted model, not a curated record